GAAAAGACCGUCUGACCGGUCAGACCACCCACCUAUGGGUGUGUCGCGGGUCAGUUCGCGGGUCAAAAAGAUCCGUGGUUUUAAUUUACGGGUUAUAUAAAUAUCUAUUUUUACCCGAUUUCGAAACUCUAUUUCAUUUCUCUCUCCUCUCAAACCCGCUGCCUCCCUCUCUCACCUCAAACCCUCUGCUUUUCUCUCUUUGAAAUCGCCGGCGGUGGAGAACGGUGGUGGCGAAACUCGCCGCCUGCGAGCAAGGAGACAUUCUCGAUCUCUUUCUCCCUCCUCUUGAUACUCUUCGCCUCAAAACCGUUUGCGACGACGAUGUCAAGAUCGAGCAUCGAGCAUGAAGGUGGCGCCGGUGAUUAACCUUGUCGCAUUAGCCGUCGGAGAUGGGAGGAGAGCGGAGUGGAACGGAGCGCUGAACGGCGGUGGCGGCUGAGGCACUACUUUCUUCUUCUGAUUUUAGGUUUUUUUAAUUUUCAGCUUUUUGUUUAAUGUUGUUGAUUUAAUUAGAAUUAAAUUUGUUUUAGUCAUGAUAAAAUCUGUUGCGGUGCAUUGAGUUGGUGCUUUGGACUCGAUUUUUUGUCCCGCGCUUGGUGGCGGCCGAAGGGCCAAGAAUGGAAUCCAGAUAGUGAAAUGAGAGUAACCCCAUUACUUCUGACUUGCCAACAAUGAGCAUGGUGAAGGACAUCCUUAGUCGAUUAGGCUCAAAGGUCACAGUUCUCAACAUCUCUCAGCUAUUUGAAUAUCGAAAAGAUGGCCAUCCUUCUAUUUAUCGCACAGGCACGGGCGCAAGAAGCCCCUAAGAAACAGCAACACCACUCCCCACCACAACCACAUGCUGCAGGAACAAUGCUGCAGAAGCAACGACUGUUGUUGGUCGAUCCAGAUUAGAAGACUAUAUUCUCUUUGAGAUGGCUCAAAUGAUUGCUUGUGCAACUGUUUAUGUUCUCAAAUGAGCAGCUUUUGCCGCUUUCGUGGAUGUUGAUGAUGAUGUUGUUGUCGUGUGGUGUUCUAAUUCGUUUUAGUUAUUCAUGGUUUUAGUUAAGAAUUGUACAUAGUAUUACUUUAGUUAUAUUUAGUUAUGAAAUGGAACGGUUUAGUUAAUCAUGGUUUUAGUUAUUUUUAGAAAAAAAAAAGGGAAUUCAUGGUUUUAGUUAAGAAAUGUAUUGUUUUAGUUAUAUUUUUGUAAUAUUUAGUUAUCAAAUGAACGGUUAGUUUAUAAUUUUUUCAUUAAUUUUAGUUAUACUUUUGUUGCA
Molecule: long non-coding RNA, 1259 nt
Organism: Spinacia oleracea (spinach)
Lineage: Eukaryota; Viridiplantae; Streptophyta; Magnoliopsida; Caryophyllales; Amaranthaceae
Exons: 3
Source: RefSeq, a predicted model, not a curated record